AGACCAUCAUGUCGGUCUGGCCUCGGUACGUACUGGUAUUGUUGGUUUCUCCCUUCUGACGAACCAUGAUGUCAUUUAUUUGGUGUCGUGGGAAAUCAGGACUGUUACUUUGAAAAAAUUAGAGUGUUUAAAGCAGGCUUACGCUUGAAUACAUUAGCAUGGAAUAAUGAAAUAGGACGUUUUGAUUCUAUUUUGUUGGUUUCUAGGAUCGACGUA
This 216-nucleotide ribosomal RNA is filed under the name Campeiostachys nutans. RNAcentral's name for it is "Elymus nutans partial small subunit ribosomal RNA". The stretch from base 46 to 216 matches the Rfam family "Eukaryotic small subunit ribosomal RNA", at positions 693 to 864 of the family's 1831-position model. The record is from RNAcentral. Lineage: Eukaryota; Viridiplantae; Streptophyta; Magnoliopsida; Poales; Poaceae.